GCCAUCCCAGUUCGGAUUGCAGGCUGAAACCCGCCUGUAUGAAGUUGGAAUCGCUAGUAAUCGCGGAUCAGCAUGCCGCGGUGAAUACGUUCCCGGGCCUUGUACACACCGCCCGUCACACCAUGAGAGUCGGGAACACCCGAAGUCCGUAGCCUAACCGCAAGGGGGGCGCGGCCGAAGGUGGGUUCGAUAAUUGGGGUGAAGUCGUAACAAGGUACC
Molecule: ribosomal RNA, 219 nt
Filed under: uncultured bacterium
Lineage: Bacteria
Description: partial 16S ribosomal RNA
Rfam family: Bacterial small subunit ribosomal RNA
Source: RNAcentral